CCACUUCCUGAUGAGAAGUCCCGUGUUGCCAUCCUCAAGGCUAACCUGCGCAAGUCCCCAGUUGCCAAGGAUGUGGACUUGGAGUUCCUGGCUAAAAUGACUAAUGGCUUCUCUGGAGCUGACCUGACAGAGAUUUGCCAGCGUGCUUGCAAGCUGGCCAUCCCCUGCUCCAUUCUCCAGUCUGAACAGUUCAGCUACAGUCUGACUCUGGACAGGGGGUUUCUGUUGCAAAAAUACAAAACAAAAGCGAUAAAAUAAAAGCGAUUUUCAUUUGGUAGGCGGAGAGUGAAUUACCAACAGGGAAUUGGGCCUUGGGCCUAUGCCAUUUCUGUUGUAGUUUGGGGCAGUGCAGGGGACCUGUGUGGGGUGUGAACCAAGGCACUACUGCCACCUGCCACAGUAAAGCAUCUGCACUUGACUCAAUGCUGCCCGAGCCCUCCCUUCCCCCUAUCCAACCUGGGUAGGUGGGUAGGGGCCACAGUUGCUGGAUGUUUAUAUAGAGAGUAGGUUGAUUUAUUUUACAUGCUUUUGAGUUAAUGUUGGAAAACUAAUCACAAGCAGUUUCUAAACCAAAAAAUGACAUGUUGUAAAAGGACAAUAAACGUUGGGUCAAAAUGGAGCCUG
RNAcentral lists this long non-coding RNA (624 nucleotides) under Homo sapiens (human). RNAcentral's name for it is "HSALNT0148457". The record is from RNAcentral. Lineage: Eukaryota; Metazoa; Chordata; Mammalia; Primates; Hominidae.